Long non-coding RNA from Dasypus novemcinctus (nine-banded armadillo), 1812 nucleotides. NCBI's taxonomy places the organism in Eukaryota, Metazoa, Chordata, Mammalia, Cingulata, Dasypodidae. The record is from Ensembl.
AGGGCAGGCUCAGGCUGCGGGCGCGGAGCCGGCUGCCAGAGCAGCCUUCCCUGCUCUGCGCUCCUGUGCGGGUUCAUCCUGGAGCCUGCCGUCAGGAUCGACAAGACCAUGCUGGCGAGUCUGAAGGUCAAAGGUGGAAACGGGCGCGGCGGGCCCAGAAGGGCGAGAACGCUGCAGCGGCGUGACUGCUGGCUCUCGGCCUGCGGUGUGGGAAAGACGCCUGCGCUUUCGGUCAUCUUAGUUUCUCUCUGAAGCCCAGUUCUGUCGAGCUGUCUUCCUGAUGCCCCUGCCUACCUGAACUAGAACCAGCUCUCGAGCAUCACAAACUGCCCUGUUACCUGUGUGUGUUUGUGGGGGAGAGGGGCCAGCUGGUUGCUGAGACAUCCGAUGGCAGACCUGACCUCCUGGUCUACGUGGCCCUGGGGCUUUCUGAGUCCCCCAUGCCAGAGUCAGGGUCUGGGAAUUGUUGAGCAACUGUGCUCGUGGUUUGGUCUGCCUCAGUUUACCAUAUGUCUGCUGGUCUAGUUGGAGCCUCGAGCAGGCACACCACACAUCUCUCUCCUGGAACCCCUGGACUUCUUCGUUCCUUUUCCUUCCGUGUUUCUGGCUGAGCCAUUUUGUCUGCAUCCUGAUCCUCUUUCCCCCUUUGAGACUUAGUGAAUGUCUAGCCUAAUUCCAUCUUCAUCCUUCCUUUGGGACAGGGAGUACUGACCGCCUACCUGCUCCAACUGAGUGAAUUGGAGGAGGGAAAUUCAAGGAGGAAAAAUAGCAUUAGUCACUAGCUCAAAAUAUUAUCCUGCUACAUGUGAACUAGGUUGUACAGGAAAACUCCCCUGGUGAGCUGCCCUCCUUCAGAGCAGUUCCUCCCAUCACAGUGGAAAGGGCUUCCAGGCCAGCCUCCCUCUGCCAUGCCAUUCAAUUGCCAGCACUGACCAUGUAUUUCCUGGGUGUAGGUCCCUGGGCAAGCCACAGCCAGUCUUGGGGGUUGUCAUAAAGGAGGGUCAAGAUAUUAAUAAGAGGGAAGCAGAUGUGGCUCAACUGAUAGAGUAUCCGUCUACCAUAUAGGAGGUCCAGGGUUCAAACCCAGGUGGCCCAUGUAGUGAGCUGGCCAUUGUGCAGUGCUGCCACAUGCAAGGUGUGCCGUGCCACGCAGGGGUGUCCCCUCUGUAGGGGUGCUCCACGCGCAAGGUGUGCGCCCUGCAAGGAGAGCCGCUCCGCGUGAAAAAAAAGUGCAGCCUGCUCAGGAGUGGUGCUGCACACAUGGAGAGCUGAUGCAGCAAGAUGAUGCAACAAAAAAGAGACACAUUCCCAGUGUCACCUGAUAAUACAAGCGGACGCAGAAGAACACACAGCGAAUGGACAGAGAGAGCAGAUAACAGGGGGGAGGGGGAGAGAAAUAAAUAAAAUAAAUCUUUAAAAAAAGGAGUCUAUUAAAAAAAAGAUAUUAAUAAGAGGUUUCCCACUCUGGUUUGUUCUGCUCAGAAGGGUGCAGGUAGGCCACUGGCAGGGCUGGGGUGGAGGGUAAACUGUCCCUGCCCUCUGAGAGCUUAUAACCUUUUUGUAGAAUUGAUGCAAGGGGUGUAGUAGGAGCAGUCCCAGAAGACUGCCAGGAGGAAGUGGCUUCUAAAGAGGCUUUUAAAGAUACUUUGGGACAAUGGGCUUACCUGUGCCUGUGCUGGGUUGGCAAGUCAAUCUUGGGCAAGACACUUAACUUCUCUGGGCUACGGUUUCCUUAUCUUUGGUCUAAUGGCCUUCCCAGAGCUUCUUGCAUAUUGAAUGAGAUGGUAGGCAGGAAAGCAGAGUGAAUAAGGG